UACGGAGGAUGCAAGCGUUAUCCGGAAUGAUUGGGCGUAAAGCGUCCGCAGGUGGUUAUACAAGUCUGCUGUCAAAGCGCAAGGCUCAACCUUGUAAAGGCAGUGGAAACUGUGUGACUAGAGAGUGAUAGGGGCAGAGGGAAUUCCUGGUGUAGCGGUGAAAUGCGUAGAUAUCUGGAGGAACACCGGUGGCGAAGGCGGCGUUCUGGACUGCAACUGACACUGGAAAAACGAAAGCCAGGGGAG
This 246-nucleotide ribosomal RNA is filed under the name uncultured bacterium. RNAcentral's name for it is "partial 16S ribosomal RNA". It matches the Rfam family "Bacterial small subunit ribosomal RNA", at positions 524 to 768 of the family's 1533-position model. The record is from RNAcentral.